GUGAGGUAGAGAGGUAUAAAUAUCAGGAGCAUUUUUUUAACUUAAAUCCACUGAAUGAGUAAUGUCUGCCAGGAUUCUUGGCUUUCUGUUUUACUUUUUAAUAUAGCAUUUUAGUCUUUAGUCCAUAUUUACUCAAAUAAGCAAAAGGUGACAAAAACUGGCUACUCUUUUUUCUAACAUUGAAUACUAUUAAAAAAUUAUUGAGAGCUUUGGUCUUACAUGUCAAAUGACAAAGGAGAACUG
RNAcentral lists this long non-coding RNA (243 nucleotides) under Bos taurus (domestic cattle). Its description in RNAcentral is "long non-coding RNA NONBTAT023400". Lineage: Eukaryota; Metazoa; Chordata; Mammalia; Artiodactyla; Bovidae. The record is from RNAcentral.